Molecule: long non-coding RNA, 974 nt
Organism: Mauremys mutica (yellowpond turtle)
Lineage: Eukaryota; Metazoa; Chordata; Testudines; Geoemydidae
Exons: 3
Source: RefSeq, a predicted model, not a curated record
GCAUUUCCAUCAUCCGUACAUAUAUGUAGUGAUUGAGUGUGGGCAAAACAAGCCAGGCUAGAUCUGGAAAUCAGCUGCAUAGUCUGGAGCAGUCAGUGGCCUCUGACUCUGCAGGCAAACUCACUGCUGGGCUCUAUAUAAGCCUCUCCAAGACGGGACGGAGGAUCAGGGUGAGAUUAAUCUCUGCAGAGGCUGGGGUCCAUCGCUCUGACAACAGUGAAAAAACAGGAACUUGGUUUGAUCCCAUGAUGGACAUGGCCCUGGCCAGCGGGCACUCAUGUUACCCAAAAUUCGAACAAUUCCUGUGGGAGCACUGGGACUAUCCAAAGACUCAAUUCCCCAACCCGAACACCUACUGCGACUGGAUGAUGUGGAAUCUGGGACUAUAUGGGAAGCCAAAUCACAUCUUCAUCCAUGAACCCAUUCAGAAGAUCAUAGACGUCUGCCAUGGGGGAGGGAUACCCCGCGGGAAUGGCUGGUAUGAGAGCAUACAAUUUUUCAACAUCACCAAGUGCACAUUUAACUUCACGUUAGGUCAUUACACCAGCUCAGGGAUGUCUGUGAUAAUUGUCAUCAGAUGCAAAUAUGGGCUCCCUGUAGCUAUUCAGGAGUAGAUGCAAGGCCCAGUCUGUGCAUAGAGGGCAGCUAAGGGAACCUGCUGCUCCCUCUAGUCCCACUCUGUUCCUUCCAUACCAGGCAUGGCACCCAGCUCCUCCCGCCUCUGCACACGAGUCAGCGUCUUCAGGUGUUUCCAUCCUUCACCUGCUACUUCUCCUAGUGCCCAUUAUACAGUAUAGCAACCCCUCCCCCACCCCUCGCCCUCUGCUGCCCCUAGUGCCCAUUAUACAGUAUAGCCGCCCCUUCCCCACCCCCAGCCUCUGCUGCCCCCAGUGCCCAUUAUAUAGUAGAGCCGCCCCUUCCCCACCCCCACCCUCUGCUGCCCCCUAGUGCCCAUUAUAUAGUAGAGCCGCCCC